This 458-nucleotide ribosomal RNA is filed under the name uncultured bacterium. RNAcentral describes it as "partial 16S ribosomal RNA". It matches the Rfam family "Bacterial small subunit ribosomal RNA", at positions 338 to 795 of the family's 1533-position model. The record is from RNAcentral.
CCUACGGGAGGCAGCAGUGAGGAAUAUUGGUCAAUGGGCGAGAGCCUGAACCAGCCAAGUCGCGUGAGGGAGUACUGCCCUAUGGGUUGUAAACCUCUUUUGUCGGGGAGCAAAAGCCGGACGUGUCCGGCUGUGAGAGUACCCGAAGAAAAAGCAUCGGCUAACUCCGUGCCAGCAGCCGCGGUAAUACGGAGGAUGCGAGCGUUAUCCGGAUUUAUUGGGUUUAAAGGGGGCUCAGGCGGAUUUUUAAGUCAGCGGUAAAAUCGUGGGGCUCAACCCCAUCCAGCCGUUGAAACUGGGGAUCUAGAGUGUGCGAGAGGUAUGCGGAAUGCGUGGUGUAGCGGUGAAAUGCAUAGAUAUCACGCAGAACCCCGAUUGCGAAGGCAGCAUACCGGUGCACAACUGACGCUCAGGCACGAAAGCGUGGGUAUCGAACAGGAUUAGAUACCCUAGUAGUC